RNAcentral lists this ribosomal RNA (567 nucleotides) under uncultured bacterium. RNAcentral's name for it is "partial 16S ribosomal RNA". It matches the Rfam family "Bacterial small subunit ribosomal RNA", at positions 355 to 914 of the family's 1533-position model. The record is from RNAcentral.
UGGGGAAUUUUGGACAAUGGGCGAAAGCCUGAUCCAGCAAUGCCGCGUGUGUGAAGAAGGCCUUCGGGUUGUAAAGCACUUUUGUCCGGAAAGAAAUCCUUGGCUCUAAUACAGUCGGGGGAUGACGGUACCGGAAGAAUAAGCACCGGCUAACUACGUGCCAGCAGCCGCGGUAAUACGUAGGGUGCAAACGUUAAUCGGAAUUACUGGGCGUAAAGCGUGCGCAGGCGGUUUGCUAAGACCGAUGUGAAAUCCCCGGGCUCAACCUGGGAACUGCAUUGGUGACUGGCAGGCUAGAGUAUGGCAGAGGGGGGUAGAAUUCCACGUGUAGCAGUGAAAUGCGUAGAGAUGUGGAGGAAUACCGAUGGCGAAGGCAGCCCCCUGGGCCAAAUACUGACGCUCAUGCACGAAAGCGUGGGGAGCAAACAGGAUUAGAUACCCUGGUAGUCCACGCCCUAAACGAUGUCAACUAGUUGUUGGGGAUUCAUUUCCUUAGUAACGUAGCUAACGCGUGAAGUUGACCGCCUGGGGAGUACGGUCGCAAGAUUAAAACUCAAAUGAAUUGAC